AUCUGACUGAUCCUCAACAUUGGGGAACUUCCUGCCCAAGAAGUGUGAAAGCGAGACAGGGACCUUCUGAGGCUCGAGCAGGCUGGGGUGUGGCUUGGUUUGGAGGGGCUGUGGGAUGAUGCCAGUCUUUGAGGAAGUUGGGUGCUUCUGGAAUCAUCUGCUACUCUGGGGUGUAAGACACACGUACUUGUCUGUCAAAUCAGAUGCUGUGAUCGUGUACUGUGAAAAUUCAAGAGGAUGGUUAAUUUCGAUGAUUUGAAUUUAAUGUGAUACUAUGCAGUUUGCAGACGGGAUGAAGCGGAUUUGCAUGCACGGACAUGAGAAGUGGGGGAUGACAGAUGAAGCGACGCAACCGAGCUGCAGAGCAGCAUGCCUCACAGGAUGCAGCGUGUGCAUGUGUGCGGUGGAGGGCAGGCAGGCUGUGGGAGGCCGUCACCGGAGCUCUGGAGACAAGAAUGGCAUGGGGUGGGGAAGCUGUUUGGAAUUUUUAAAACAUUUUUUUUUUUUUACUCUCCAUAUUGCUUGUUUAUAUUGUCUUGUAUGUUUUUUUUUUUUUUUCAUUAAAACCACAC
Molecule: long non-coding RNA, 572 nt
Organism: Peromyscus leucopus (white-footed mouse)
Lineage: Eukaryota; Metazoa; Chordata; Mammalia; Rodentia; Cricetidae
Exons: 3
Source: RefSeq, a predicted model, not a curated record